CAGGUGUUCCUUUGAUUGACAUACAUGGUGACUUUGCUCUUCAGCCUGAGAGUGGUUCAAAUAAGCAAAUUAGAACAUAAGUGUGGCCUUCUGAACACUGUUUACAGGAGACCUGGAGGAGAAAACAGCACCAAAUUUUUCAAGUGACGUGGACUGGCUUGGCAUGUAGCAUAUAUUUUCCAACUGGAAGCUGAUCUGUGCCUAUUCGGAAUCGACCUCAACAG
Suncus etruscus (white-toothed pygmy shrew) is the source of this 224-nucleotide long non-coding RNA. RefSeq lists it as uncharacterized. NCBI's taxonomy places the organism in Eukaryota, Metazoa, Chordata, Mammalia, Eulipotyphla, Soricidae. The record is from RefSeq and is a predicted model, not a curated record. The transcript is spliced from 3 exons.